UACCUGGUUGAUCCUGCCAGUAGUCAUAUGCUUGUCUCAAAGAUUAAGCCAUGCAUGUGUAARUAUGAACUAAWUCAAACUGUG
This 84-nucleotide ribosomal RNA is filed under the name Flindersia dissosperma. Its description in RNAcentral is "partial 18S ribosomal RNA". The record is from RNAcentral. Lineage: Eukaryota; Viridiplantae; Streptophyta; Magnoliopsida; Sapindales; Rutaceae.